This 527-nucleotide long non-coding RNA is filed under the name Coffea arabica (coffee). RNAcentral describes it as "long non-coding RNA (CARA_LNC003858)". Lineage: Eukaryota; Viridiplantae; Streptophyta; Magnoliopsida; Gentianales; Rubiaceae. The record is from RNAcentral.
UACGGGAAGCUCAUGAGGCAUUAUCAGAAAGUAGUAGGCCUGAUAAAGAACUGAUUCUUGGUGGAACAACCCUUCUCACUCCUGAUGACAUGUUUGAGUUACUUUUGGGAGAAUCUAGUUUCAUAUGAGCCUACCUUGUGACACCUUCCACUGAGGAAGUUGAAAGAAACCAACCAGAGAUCAGAAGUAUCCAAGUUGUAGAGUGUUUUUCUUUUCAUUUUUCCUAACCUCCAUUAGAGGCAAAGCUGAGAAAGAGUGGCUACAAAUACUUCUUUCUCACUCCUGAUGACAUGUUUGAGUUACUCUUGGGAGAAUCCAGUUUCAUAUGAGGCUGCCUUGUGACACCUUCUACUCAGGAAGUUGAAGAAACCAACCGCAGAUCAGAAGUAUUCAAGUUGUAAAGUGUUUUCUUUUUCAUUCUUCCUAACCUUCAUUAUAGAGAAGGGUAUGACAGAAUAGCUAUGGAUACAUCUUUUUUCCUUAUUCAUUUUCAUUUGUUCUUUUGACUGAGCAAGGGGCAAAAAGUA